AUUUAUAUUUGAGCUAGUAAUGGGAUAGAAUGUAAUGUCCCAAACUUUUUCUGAAAUAUUUUAUAUUUGAUUUCUUUUAUUGUUACCAUAUCCUCUAAUUUUAUCAAAAUUCCUACACUACCCUUAUUCUUUUUACCAAAACCUAACCCUAAUGCCUAAAUUAAACCCACACACUCUUACUCUCACAUAAGCAUACACUCUGAAGUCGAAACA
Non-coding RNA from Arachis ipaensis, 213 nucleotides. The record is from RefSeq and is a predicted model, not a curated record. NCBI's taxonomy places the organism in Eukaryota, Viridiplantae, Streptophyta, Magnoliopsida, Fabales, Fabaceae.